RNAcentral lists this ribosomal RNA (477 nucleotides) under uncultured bacterium. Its description in RNAcentral is "partial 16S ribosomal RNA". It matches the Rfam family "Bacterial small subunit ribosomal RNA", at positions 28 to 507 of the family's 1533-position model. The record is from RNAcentral.
GAUUAACGCUGGCGGCGUGCAUAACACAUGCAAGUCGAACGAUGAAACUUAAAUGAUUUCUUCGGAAUGAACUUAAGUGGAUUAGUGGCGGACGGGUGAGUAACGCGUGAGUAACCUGCCUUACACAAGGGGAUAGCCGUUGGAAACGACGAAUAAUACCCUAUGAAACUAUCACUUCGCAUGAAGCGAUAGUCAAAGUGUUAGCAGUGUAAGAUGGACUUGCGUCUGAUUAGCUAGUUGGUGAGAAAAAAGCCCACCAAGGCAACGAUCAGUAGCCGGCUUGAGAGAGUGUACGGCCACAUUGGGACUGAGACACGGCCCAGACUCCUACGGGAGGCAGCAGUGGGGAAUUUUGCACAAUGGGGGAAACCCUGAUGCAGCGACGCCGCGUGAUUUAGAAGGCCUUCGGGUUGUAAAAAUCUUUUGUAUAGGAAGAAAAUGACAGUACUAUACGAAUAAGGUCCGGCUAAUUACGUG